UGGUUGAUCCUGCCAGUAGUCAUAUGCUUGUCUCAAAGAUUAAGCCAUGCAUGUCUAAGUAUAAGCAAACUAUACUGUGAAACUGCGAAUGGCUCAUUAAAUCAGUUAUCGUUUAUUUGAUAGUACCUUACUACAUGGACAACUGUGUUAAUUCUAGAGCUAAUACAUGCUAAAAACCUCGACUUCGGAAGGGGUGUAUUUAUUAGAUAAAAAACCAAUGCCCUUCGGGGCUCCUUGGUUAUUCAUAAUAACUUAACGGAUCGCAUGGCCUUGUGCCGGCGAUGGUUCAUUCAAAUUUCUGCCCUAUCAACUUUCGAUGUUUGGGUAUUGGCCUAACAUGGUUUCAACGGGUAACGGGGAAUUAGGGUUCUAUUCCGGAGAAGCAGCCUGAGAAACGGCUACUACAUCCAAGGAAGGCAGCAGGCGCGCAAAUUACCCAAUCGCAAUUCGCGGAGGUAGUGACAAUAAAUACUGAUACAGGGCUCUUUUGGGUCUUGUAAUUGGAAUGAGUACAAUUUAAAUCCCUUAACGAGGAACAAUUGGAGGGCAAGUCUGGU
RNAcentral lists this ribosomal RNA (557 nucleotides) under uncultured eukaryote. RNAcentral describes it as "SSU rRNA". It matches the Rfam family "Eukaryotic small subunit ribosomal RNA", at positions 5 to 565 of the family's 1831-position model. The record is from RNAcentral.